GUGGGGAAUAUUGGACAAUGGGCGGAAGCCUGAUCCAGCAACGCCGCGUGAGGGAUGACGGCCUUCGGGUUGUAAACCUCUUUCAGUACCGACGAAGCGGAAGUGACGGUAGGUACAGAAGAAGCACCGGCCAACUACGUGCCAGCAGCCGCGGUAAUACGUAGGGUGCGAGCGUUGUCCGGAAUUAUUGGGCGUAAAGGGCUCGUAGGCGGUUUGUCGCGUCGGGAGUGAAAACACUGGGCUUAACUCAGUGCUUGCUUCCGAUACGGGCAGACUAGAGGCAUGCAGGGGAGAACGGAAUUCCUGGUGUAGCGGUGAAAUGCGCAGAUAUCAGGAGGAACACCGGUGGCGAAGGCGGUUCUCUGGGCAUGUCCUGACGCUGAGGAGCGAAAGUGUGGGGAGCGA
RNAcentral lists this ribosomal RNA (405 nucleotides) under uncultured Nocardioides sp. Its description in RNAcentral is "bacterial SSU rRNA". It matches the Rfam family "Bacterial small subunit ribosomal RNA", at positions 354 to 771 of the family's 1533-position model. The record is from RNAcentral. Lineage: Bacteria; Bacillati; Actinomycetota; Actinomycetes; Propionibacteriales; Nocardioidaceae.